UACGGAGGGGGCUAGCGUUAUUCGGAAUUACUGGGCGCAAAGCGCACGUAGGCGGACUGGAGAGUCAGAGGUGAAAGCCCAGGGCUCAACCUUGGAACUGCGUUUGAAACUACAAGGCUAGAGUGUAGCAGAGGGGGGUGGAAUUCCACGUGUAGCAGUGAAAUGCGUAGAGAUGUGGAGGAACACCGAUGGCGAAGGCAGCCCCCUGGGUUAACACUGACGCUCAGGCACGAAAGCGUGGGGAGCAAACAGG
This 253-nucleotide ribosomal RNA is filed under the name uncultured bacterium. RNAcentral describes it as "partial 16S ribosomal RNA". It matches the Rfam family "Bacterial small subunit ribosomal RNA", at positions 524 to 776 of the family's 1533-position model. The record is from RNAcentral.